GGUGAUAAUGGUUUAUCUUGAUGUUAUUGUUAUUAUUUGUCAUGUUCUCAUAUGAAGAGCCUGCUGGAAACUUUGACAUGCAAAUGAAGCAGAAGCUUCAAAAAAUUGCUGAAAUAAUCAACGACAACCAGUUCAGAUAUGACAAGUCACCAACUACGAUCGAAAAGGCACAAAAAGAUGGAAUACCUGACCUGCAAGUGAAGGUUUAAAGUGAUUAUUUUAUAUCAGUGAAAGGUAAUAAUGUAAUAUGUUGUUUAGGCAUACAUUUUACACACAUAUUUAUGAGUACAUUAUUUUUAUUUCUUAUAU
Long non-coding RNA from Helianthus annuus (common sunflower), 309 nucleotides. RefSeq lists it as uncharacterized. Lineage: Eukaryota; Viridiplantae; Streptophyta; Magnoliopsida; Asterales; Asteraceae. The transcript is spliced from 3 exons. The record is from RefSeq and is a predicted model, not a curated record.